RNAcentral lists this ribosomal RNA (220 nucleotides) under uncultured Glomus. Its description in RNAcentral is "partial small subunit ribosomal RNA". It matches the Rfam family "Eukaryotic small subunit ribosomal RNA", at positions 591 to 816 of the family's 1831-position model. Lineage: Eukaryota; Fungi; Glomeromycota; Glomeromycetes; Glomerales; Glomeraceae. The record is from RNAcentral.
CCAAUAGCGUAUAUUAAAGUUGUUGCAGUUAAAAAGCUCGUAGUUGAAUUUCGGGAUCAGUACGCUGGUCGUGCCUUCGGUGUGCACUGGUGUCACUGGUUCCUCCCUUCUGAAGAACCGUCAUGCCAUUCAGUUGGUGUGGCGGGGAAUCAGGACUGUUACUUUGAAAAAAUUAGAGUGUUUAAAGCAGGCUCGCGCUUGAAUACAUUAGCAUGGAAUA